ACCAAGGACGAGAGGAAUCCUCUGCCCACCCUGCGCCUGGAGGGCUUGGGGACAGGAGGGAUUAACAGAGGAGCGGCAGCUUUUCCUGGCUGUUGACUGAAGACAGUCCUUUGGCUUUUCCGGGCACCCCCUCCUGGUUUGCCUUGGUCCCGCUCGGGGCUCCUUUAGAACGCGGCAAACAGAGGACCUAGCAACGGGAGCGCUGGGCGGGGUCCCCUCUUAAGGAGAUGCGAAAGGGCGCCGGCCUGAGCCCCGCCUGCGUGCACGCCUUCUCCCCUGCGAGGCCCGUAGCACCAGUUUCUGGUGCAUCCCUUACCACAGACAUCACACCACAAGACCGAGGGGGGCAUCCUGAGUCACCGAAGGAGCUCCUCACAUCCUUUAUCGAAGCAUCUUUGUGGAGCAAUGAGUAAAAGGAUGUUCACACGUCAGUACCAGCACAACAGAAAUCCCCAGAGGUCCACGUUGCUGAGGAGCCCAGGCACUAGAUCCCCAGGCGAGCCAGGCAUCUGUGACCCAGGGCCAGGAUGGCCUCAGCCUCAGAAAGAUCCCUAGCCUCUUCCACCAUUUGAGGACAUGGUGAAAACGCACCAGCUAUGAACCAGGAGGAAGACUCUUUCCAGGAGACCACCAUACUGGCACCUUGAUCUUGGACUUCCAGCCUCCAAAACGCUGGGUCCACUUUGAGGACAGUAACUUAUCAAAGGUAUCAGCAAAACCAGCAAACUGGGGAGAAACAGCACCAAAGACAGCAACAGACUCUGAUAUUUUGGGAGCUCAAGCAGAGGGGAAGGAAAAUGGCAAAUGCUCUGUGACAUCCUAAGUUCUCAAGCAACUCUCCACCAGCCCCAUUUCUCUCCCUGAAAGAACUGAGGAACACACUGAGUGGAACUCAAGUUACCUCAUGAGGUGGGAAAAUAACCCAGAAAAGUUGGAGGAAGAAAGAAAGUCGGAAUGCUAAUUGUUGUAGUUACCGUCCCUUCACUUUUACCCACAGCUGCUGAGGUUUGAGGAAACACAAUUUUAUAAUCAAAGUUUGAUGGAAAAGGAAACUGAGUCACAUUACCAUUUGCAGAGUCACGUAAGAAAUCAAAGACUGGUGCAAGGAUGAAGUCUAGUUCAUCUAGUUUAUAAUCCAUAAUGUCAUCCCUUUGUCACAUAGGGAAGUAAUGAUUCAAAGUAAAUCACCAACAAAAAUUAAAACCCUCAAAUAUUUGUCCUAUUGAUUAUGGCUGUAUGACUUUAUAAUUGGAUUUGAGGGACUAUGGAUUUCUCCAGGCCCUCAAGCAAAGAGAGUGACCUUCAGUCUCGUGCAUGGUUCCAUACAAGAGUGAAAUGUUUUGAAAAGGAACAUGGCCCUUCCUAUCCAAGGCAACCCCCCUCCUUCACUCUCUCAAGGAUGUGGCUUAAGGUUUUCUGUUUGCUGCUCCCAAUGGCAGACAUCUUUCUUCUUAUGAUUGCAAUUGCAUGUCUGGUUAUUUUAAGAGUGAGACUAUAACAUUUCUGGUUGAUAAUUAUAGUAAAUCAAUGUGUUAAUAACAGGAUUUCAGUGUAUCAAGUUCAUCUGUAGAAAAAAUUGUAAACAAUUCAACCUAAAUCACCUAGAGAGGAUAUGAGCCUGGCAGAUUAUUGUGGUCGGAGAGCUAAUAAUAACAGUUAUUUUUUAUUGACCUUUCAGCACUUAAUCUUCAUUUAAACCCUAUGAGGAAACGAUAUUAUUCCCAUCUUAUAGGUGAAGAAACUGAAAUUUUAAAGGUAUUACAUAACUUCUCAUCCUUACUGCUCCACUCUACUGCCUCAUCAAGGAAGAGAAGUUAGCAUAUUCCAUCCCAUUUAUGUGACCCAAGUACCCCAGGCAUAAAAUAUUUUAUCACCAGGCCAAUUCCUUAGGAAAAUGCAUUCCAUUUGCCAAGCGUAUAAUACAAAAUUAAACUUGCAAACCUUUUGAUCCACUCUCAGAUUCCAACAAGAGUAAUUCCCUUACAAGUACAAGGAGUGAAAAUGUGACUCACAAUAAAUAAUUCUAUCAAAUGUACUUCUGUACUGCCUCUGACCUUGCCCUUUUGCCUUAAGUCACUGCCAAGACUAAUAGAUCCCAUGACACUCUCAAGAUAUAGAAAGUAAUUAUUGAAAUUCAUCUGGUUAUACAAAGAUAAAAAGUAUUUCAUUGCUAGACAGAGCAUUUAUUUUCCAAAGGCUAUUCUGUCUUUUUUCCUUAAAGUAUCAUAUAAUAGUCUUCAUGAUAAUUUUGCAUUUUCAGUGAGUAAAAAUUUUAUGUACUCAUUAUUAUCUAAAUAUUCAAGAAUAAAACUGAGAACAUGGAAGCAAGCAGAGAGUCAAAUAAAUCACAAAAUUAAUAAUUUAGUUCGAAAAACAUUCCUUAUUUUGUCAUGUUUGCCCAUAAUUCCAUCAAGAAUAUUGCCUUGUUAACAAAUACCCUAUAAAUAUUUGUUGAAUAAAAAAUUGAAUGAAAUCUUGAUUAUAACAGAUCAAAAUCAGCAAGUCAGCAACCUCUAUAGGUAUAGUGGAAAAUUGUUUUUCUUGUGCUACCCAGAAUCCAUUCAUCCUAUUCUAGCAAUAUAAUACCUAUUUUGAUGCAUUCCUGUCUUCCGUUUGUACAACCAUGGUGUCUUCCUAAAACCAAGAGAUAAUCGCGAGGAUUUAACUGAUCAAUCAGAAAUUCUCCCAAGACUUUGAAUCUUGAGAACCUAAGACGGUUGGAAUUCAUUCCUUCCAGUAAAGGUACCCUGACAAGGUAGUUAAGCAGUCCUUGUUACCUGGACCCUUGGAAUUACCCUGAUUCUUGUCUAAUUUGAGCUUGGUUCUUUCUCUUACCUGUGGGUUGUGUUAAUUCCCCAGUAUCAAUAUAGUAGGAUGUCUUUUCUGCUUAAAUUAUCCAGAAUUAAUUUCUAUUACUUAAAACUGAAGAACACAAUACUCCAGCUUCCGCUUAGGAUAUACAAAGUUGUAAGAUUAUUACACUAAACCUAAAAACAAGAAAAAAGGUAGUUAAUCUACAAAAGCAUAACUUUCCUUGAGCAUUUCAGAGAGCUGAGAUCACAAGGCAGCUGAGUAACCUGAAUUCCAAUGGGAAACAAGCUCCUUAAAGGAGCGGUGGAGAACAUGAACUUUUCGACCUGUGCGAGAUUAGUGGAAAAACUGGUGACCACCAUACAAACAGGCUUCCAGAGGAUCCUCACAAAAAGACUGGAGACAGGGUAAGAGAUGUGAGAGAGCCACCUCACUAAUGCAGGAGAGUCAUGUGAAGACCUAGCAAGAAGUUGGCAUCUAUAAGCCAGGAAGAAUGCCUUUACCAGAAACCAAAUUGCCUGGAACCUUGAUCUCAGACUUCUAGCCUCCAGAACUUCGAGAAAAUAAAUUUCUGUUGUUUAAGCCACCCAGUCUCUGGCAUUUUGUUAUGACAGCCCAAACACACUAAUACACCUAGGUAGCAGGCAAGUGGUAGCAGCAAGGGCCAAAAGCGUGCAUUAUAAGGCCAGCAACCAAUAUCAGAAAACUACAGCACCACUGAAAAUCUCCAGUGCCGGGAGAGACCCCUGGGAGAAAGCAGAAACCUGGAAUUUUGGAA
This is a non-coding RNA of Equus caballus (horse), 3589 nucleotides long. The record is from RefSeq and is a predicted model, not a curated record. Lineage: Eukaryota; Metazoa; Chordata; Mammalia; Perissodactyla; Equidae.